Long non-coding RNA from Mustela erminea (ermine), 903 nucleotides. RefSeq lists it as uncharacterized. Lineage: Eukaryota; Metazoa; Chordata; Mammalia; Carnivora; Mustelidae. The transcript has 3 exons. The record is from RefSeq and is a predicted model, not a curated record.
CCAGGUCCCUUCACCCCCAGGGACUCCGCCACCGCGGGGUCGGGUCACGGCUCGCGGAGGGAGGUCUGGAGGUUUUACAGGGAGGGCCUCCCGCCUCCUCCAGAGGCGCAAACCCCGGACCCGGGGGGCACAGCCCGGGAACCAGGCGCUGCCGGGAGAGGGGGUUGCGGAGGAGGGGAAACCCGAGCUCUCGCCUGGCACCUUCGCCCUCUCGGGCGGGUCCCGCUGUCGCCGCCGCCAGGGCCGGCAGGGGGCGCUGCGCCGCCCUGGCUGCGCACCCGGGGACCAGAACGUGACCUCUUGGUUCUUCCGUAGAGGUGGCUUGCCAAAGGCUCUUUGAAAUUCUGAGGAACACUGCGCGAAAGUAAGCCAAUAGGCUUCGGAUAAAGAGCGCCUACUGUGUACCACGAGCUCUCCAUCCUGUAGUUCUCUAAGGAAGAGGCUAUUCCUGAGAUCCAGAGUUUCUCCGAGAGCAGGGAAAGCAGACAAUCACGCGAGACUGGGGAGCUUCUCCACUGUCGCGGCGCCACCUGCUACAUGACAGCGAUGCCUCAGUCCCCUCAUGGUCGCCAUGGCACCGGAGCUGAGCAUGAAACGGAAAUGAUGAGAGCUGUGACGCGCACGGAGCAGUGUCAGCCAAUGAGAAGAGCGAGUGCUUAUAGUAGCCAAUAAACAACCGAUAUGUAAAUCACCUCGGAGGGUAACGGUACGUGGGUGAGGUCAGGCUUUGGGUUCCUGUAUAAGCAGUCCCUGGCGAAGGGGCAUAGGGUUGUGCGGGGUUUGGUCUAGAUGUUCCGAGGUCGAGGGACGGGCCCUUCUCUGGGCUCUCUAGAGAAGCGCCAUAGAAAGGAAAAGACUAUUUCCGGAUGUAUUACCUACCUGUCUUCCUUGCUUCUCCCUCUC